GGGCUAAGGGGGCUCGGGGCGGUGGUUGAAGAGCAUCCGUUUCAGUCGCGCCAUUAUGUAAUUGAUCUGGGCUUUCCGUACGCGAUGAUCGUGUAAUGCGUUCCACGUACUCGACGCGCGCGAUUCCGCAUACAUCUUCUCUUCUUUUUUCUCUCCUUCUUCCCUCUCUCUCAUUCUCUUUUCCUCUACUGCUAUCCGAAAGCCCUCGGAGGCAGAAGAACGUUGCAGUCCGUUGCAUCACGCGGAUAGAUUAAAAGGAACGCACUGGCAAAGGUGAGAGUCGGUGGACAGUCAAAGUCGAUACUCGUUUUCGUAUCAAUGGUGCUCUUCGACUGGAUCGCGCUCCUCCGAACCGUCGAUAAUUUUCCUAAAGAGAGAGAUUUUUCGUUCCCGGCUCACUCCACGUUGAUGCAUCCAGUCAAGAUCGAAAUGAUUUCACAAGAGUGGCGGAUUGAUGACGAACGUUGAUUACGAAGAUUGGCCGGUGUCGAUGCGAUUAUCAUAAAUAAACUGUGGAUGUUUACGUAUCUAUGGGAAGUUUAACAGAGUAAGAAGAUGUCACGGGCAUGUAAGUGCGUUAAAUGGAUAAAUAGUUGGCAUACUAUUAUUGUGGAUUACAUUUUUCACAUUUUAACUUAAUUAGUAAUUGUUUCAAUUAAAUUGUUUCAAUUAAUCAACAUAGUAAACAUCAUAUAUACACAUAAUGUCAAUAUUUUACUACAGUCUACAAUUCAUACAAUUAAUCAAAUCGAUACACUAAAAAGCAAUCAGACAAAUAACUGUAUCUUCAAGUAGUAUUCUAAAAAAUUCAGGAUUUAUAUAAUUUACACGUACGAAUAUAAAUCACGUUGUUUAUGGCCGAGGAAACGUACAUGUAAUUCGAUUCCACGUAACAAAAAUAGCCAGUCUUGUAUUUACCCUAAUACAGGCGUUGUUGGGACUCGCGAUUCAUUACAAUUAACGAAAACCGUGGUAUGCCAAUACGAUGAUGGACUCAAUUAGAAAAUGGCGUGGUUGGGGGUGGUUGUGUACAUCGAAUGCGCUCUUCCUUCUUCGUCUGUGGUUCAUCGACGAACGCGCGCAGGCAUCGCUGGUAGAUAUUUAAUUAAAGUUGUUUGCGCGACCAAGUUUGGAAACUUUGGGAAUAAGUUACCGGCGGGAAUCAGCGAAGGGGCCAUUUAAUUGUCCUCGCGUUUAAUGCGCCGAAUGGCCCGGGAGUUAUACUCGUCAUCAUGUCACCGGAAGUCACCGGAUGGGUGGGCUGAGUAGUAAACGCGUCAACGGGCAAGAAAAGAACCACACGAGCGUGUUGCGAUUUUCGUGAAAAGUAUCUCGUCCUUAACCCAUUUGCACCGGUUUCUUUUAUAUCGUUGCGUUGGCAAGGUGCUACACGCGAAACGUUAAUUUACUCUGUCGCAUACACAUAUAUACAUGUAUAUAUGUAAAUAUAUAGAUAUACUUUUAUCGCAAUUACACAGAGAAAAAUUUUGUACGUCACGCUUUUCAUGUUCCUCGAAGUUGACGGUGACAUCACAAUGCGACCCUCUUGCGUUUUAUUUUUAAUUUGCGCCGAUAUCGAAGCCAAAUCCGUGCGUCCGUCGCCGUUGUUUUAUGCCGCUCGUAAUUAUACGAAGACACGCUGCAUGCUUCUAUUCAAAUCGUUGAUUUUAAACGACAGAAUCGAUACCGAUGUAUUAAUAUAAUGGACGUUGGCCGAGGUAGAGUAAGCCUUUCCUUUCUUGUUCUACCGAUUUGUAGAAGUAUGCACUCGCGAAAUCGGUGAGUCGCGAUUUAAUUGAUGCUGCUCGCGAAUUAAUUACGCGUUAGUAGUCGAGAAAAUUCCUGCAUCUCGGAUUAAGUUGAACGCUUUGAAGCGUGUCUGCGAUUACGUAGAUUACCGUCGUCCUCGAUGAGGAUAGAAUUCGUUUCUUUCAAGUCGCUCCAUUUCACGCGCUAAUAGGUUCGCGGUGUUUCGCGCACUCGUGUUACGCGACGUCGCGUUUACAGACGCGAUUCACUUAAAAACCAAGCUCUGUCGUCAGCGGAUUUCAUUUUCUUUCUUUUUCUCUUCUGUCUCUUUCCUCCCCCGUCUUUUUUUUUUUUUUUUUAUUUCACCGCGAAGCGACUCGAUUAUACCAACCGACUAAAGCUUGAUAUCAAAAGCAUUAUAGAUUCAGACGUAUCCAAGUAAGCGCGAGCGAAGACGAGAAAAAACGGAAAAAAGGAAAUUUCGCGACCUAGCUGAAAUAUCCCUUUAGAAUAUCAGCGGGUGAAAAUCUUUUUUCUUGAGUUAUAAAGAAGCUCGGCGACGCGUCCUUCCUGAAAUAAAAUAACCGAUAAGUGAUCCGGUGUCGGUGUGGACAGAGCCUUAACGUGAGAAACGAGAGGCCAAGUGAUCGCAUAAACGUAUUCGUGUCAAAAGCAGCUCCGGUCGAGACCCGAGUUAUCCUCUGACCCCACUCUGUCAUCUCGAACUUACCUCGCCUCCUCUUCGUAUCACCAAACCGUUAUUUUCGGCCAGGUUUCCCCAUUUUCUUCCCGAUAUUCUUCCGGACAAAUGAUUCGAAUGCUUUACAUAUACAUUUUAAAAGAAACAUAUGUAUCUACUAGCUGAGAAUAAAGCGUUUCUAUGCAAGACAGAAGUAAUAUAGAAUUUUAUUUUUCAUAUCUACAACUUUUUAGAGAUAUAGAAAGUAAAUUCAGUUCGAAUAUAGUUGAUGAUAUAUAAUUACAUCGUUUAAUAUGAUUAUAUCUUUUUAAUAAAACGAGGAUGACGGAAAAUAUCAACUCUUUUCGAACAUUUUCUUUCGUUCUGAUUUUUCUCCGCUUACCUUUUAAAACAAUAUCUUGACAAAAUUUUAAUUUGAUUUCCAAAUUCGGUGAUAAUCACCGGAAUUCAUUUCGAUUUCAAAAGAUUACAAUAAUUGAUAAGCGUUUGUCAAUGAGGAUCUUGAAAUCUUGAAAUAGAAUUACUUAAAACAUAUAAAUAAAUUUACUUUCCAAAAUUCUAUGCUACGGAUUUAAUAUAACAUUUCUGCACUAGCCAUUUCUAAAUGACCAUUUACAAAAUAAUUUCAAUAUAAUAUACAUGUAAACAACAAUCACGCAAAUUUCUUCCCUUUUAAAAUGUUGUUCGCCUAUCCUAUUCUUAGCAUAACAUUUCCUCUCUAUCAAAGGUAAAAAUUCGCGUUUUUCCAUUUAAAAUAGAGAAACGUUUAAUAAAAUACCGCGACGGUUGGUGCACGGCAUUCUUUAGUAUCGAAUGCUUACGUAAUAAUACGUGGUCGCGUUGGCGCGUAUACUCCUACGAACCGUGCGCGUUCUAUAUCCACGGAAAUUCUCGAGCGCGGUGCAUCGGUGCACUUUAAAGCUCGCGGUUGUAUAUUUCCUCCCGUGCACCGAACACCUCGCACUUGAGCCUUGUCACAAUAAAACAUCGGUCGCGCUUCCGCGGCGUUGCUCGCUCACUGUCGCGAAACAAAAAUGUUUCGCCGCGGAACGUCGUGCAAUUAAGGACACAGAAUCCCUUGCCGAUAAACUUUGUAACGUAAGCCCUGACUAAGUUUAAUCGUUUAGUACGUAUCGCUUUUACGCUUGGAAAAAAUUAAACAGCUGUUCUAUUUAAAUGAUACAUUUAGAUGUUGAUGUUCGGAUUUUUUUAUAUAAAAAAUCAAAUCAGAUUGUGACAUAGUAAUUUUGCAGAUAGGUAUAAGAAUAGUUAUGAAGAAUAUGUCUAGCUGAAUGAAAAUUUGCUGGCUAUCGUAAAUUCACGAUAAAUCCAGACUCGACGCGAAACCUCUUAAGGACUUCGUAGCAGGGUUAUAUAUCAAUCACAGAGAAAGCUAAUAGGGGAAUGGAGCAAGGCAACAUCCUCACGUGAGAAAUUCAUGGAAAACGUGGUAUCUUUCGCGCGUGCCGCGUGAACACGUGCAUUCUCAAAAUAGAACGCAAAUAUUGUUGACGUGAAAUGGGAAUUAAUAGAGAGGAUCCGAAAUACUGAAAAGACAAAUACAGAUGUGGCAUAUCUACUGUUCUGCAUGCAAACAGUCAUAUUGACAAUAAGCCUCCGAUAAGCGAAGCAUUUGCGUGCAUGCAUACGUUCAAUCAUUGAUGAUUGCUACAAGAGCAAACGAAUGUAAUAACGAUUUUACGUAAUAAUCAGCCUGAUAGGAUGCAUUCGUUUCUGUCAUACCUAUCAUAAAAAUUGCUGGUUGAAAUCCUAUUAUUGGAUAUGAUCGUUUACGACCUUGUGUAUGAAUUCACGUGCGUAGGAUGCUUGGCCAGUCAGUGAAACAACUACACAUUCUCGGGGAUCAGUAGAAGUUUUCUGUAAUGAACAGACUCUACUGUUCACAGGACGGCACAUGUAUUUCUUUGACUUGAUAGACGACACACUCUUUUUAUUUUUUUUAUUAUCGAAUAAUUGUUUAAUUUACCAUUCAUUUACAUAUUUUUAAUUGAAUUUUAAAAAAGUUGGUAAAAUAUUAAAAAGUAUUAUAAAAAGGGAAUAGAAUUAUGCUUUGUGGUAUUGUAAAAGAUAUUAAUAUUCGAUUAAUUAAUAUAAAAGUUGAAAUAUAAGAAUAAUAAAUUAUAUUGGUACGUUUA
Long non-coding RNA from Bombus terrestris (buff-tailed bumblebee), 4605 nucleotides. RefSeq lists it as uncharacterized. Lineage: Eukaryota; Metazoa; Arthropoda; Insecta; Hymenoptera; Apidae. The record is from RefSeq and is a predicted model, not a curated record. The transcript has 5 exons.